GCGGGUGUAGCUCAACCGGUAGAGCGACAGCUUCCCAAGCUGUAGGUAGCGGGUUCGAUCCCCGUCACCCGCU
Molecule: transfer RNA, 73 nt
Filed under: Deferribacteraceae bacterium
Lineage: Bacteria; Pseudomonadati; Deferribacterota; Deferribacteres; Deferribacterales; Deferribacteraceae
Description: tRNA-Gly
Rfam family: tRNA
About the family: Transfer RNA (tRNA) molecules are approximately 80 nucleotides in length. Their secondary structure includes four short double-helical elements and three loops (D, anti-codon, and T loops). Further hydrogen bonds mediate the characteristic L-shaped molecular structure. tRNAs have two regions of fundamental functional importance: the anti-codon, which is responsible for specific mRNA codon recognition, and the 3' end, to which the tRNAs corresponding amino acid is attached (by aminoacyl-tRNA synthetases). tRNAs cope with the degeneracy of the genetic code in two manners: having more than one tRNA (with a specific anti-codon) for a particular amino acid; and 'wobble' base-pairing, i.e. permitting non-standard base-pairing at the 3rd anti-codon position.
Source: RNAcentral